Molecule: transfer RNA, 73 nt
Filed under: Streptomyces hygroscopicus subsp. jinggangensis TL01
Lineage: Bacteria; Bacillati; Actinomycetota; Actinomycetes; Kitasatosporales; Streptomycetaceae
Description: tRNA-Glu
Source: RNAcentral
GCAGAGCUUAUCUGCAAAGCCCCCGUUGUGUAGCGGCCUAGCACGCUGCCCUCUCAAGGCAGUAGCGCCGGUU